CUGGAGGUAUCAGAAGUGCGAAUGCUGACAUAAGUAACGAUAAAGCGGGUGAAAAGCCCGCUCGCCGGAAGACCAAGGGUUCCUGUCCAACGUUAAUCGGGGCAGGGUGAGUCGACCCCUAAGGCGAGGCCGAAAGGCGUAGUCGAUGGGAAACAGGUUAAUAUUCCUGUACUUGGUGUUACUGCGAAGGGGGGACGGAGAAGGCUAUGUUGGCCGGGCGACGGUUGUCCCGGUUUAAGCGUGUAGGCUGGUUUUCCAGGCAAAUCCGGAAAAUCAAGGCUGAGGCGUGAUGACGAGGCACUACGGUGCUGAAGCAACAAAUGCCCUGCUUCCAGGAAAAGCCUCUAAGCAUCAGGUAACAUCAAAUCGUACCCCAAACCGACACAGGUGGUCAGGUAGAGAAUACCAAGGCGCUUGAGAGAACUCGGGUGAAGGAACUAGGCAAAAUGGUGCCGUAACUUCGGGAGAAGGCACGCUGAUAUGUAGGUGAAGCGACUUGC
RNAcentral lists this ribosomal RNA (500 nucleotides) under Escherichia coli. RNAcentral describes it as "partial 23S ribosomal RNA". It matches the Rfam family "Bacterial large subunit ribosomal RNA", at positions 1273 to 1773 of the family's 2925-position model. The record is from RNAcentral. Lineage: Bacteria; Pseudomonadati; Pseudomonadota; Gammaproteobacteria; Enterobacterales; Enterobacteriaceae.